UGAUUUUGUUGGUUUGUAAU
This 20-nucleotide microRNA is filed under the name Corchorus olitorius. Its description in RNAcentral is "bta-miR-22". Lineage: Eukaryota; Viridiplantae; Streptophyta; Magnoliopsida; Malvales; Malvaceae. The record is from RNAcentral.